This 253-nucleotide ribosomal RNA is filed under the name uncultured bacterium. RNAcentral describes it as "partial 16S ribosomal RNA". It matches the Rfam family "Bacterial small subunit ribosomal RNA", at positions 524 to 776 of the family's 1533-position model. The record is from RNAcentral.
UACGAAGGGGGCUAGCGUUGCUCGGAAUCACUGGGCGUAAAGCGCACGUAGGCGGCUUGCUAAGUCAGGGGUGAAAUCCUGGAGCUCAACUCCAGAACUGCCUUUGAUACUGGCGAUCUUGAGUCCGGGAGAGGUGGGUGGAACUGCGAGUGUAGAGGUGAAAUUCGUAGAUAUUCGCAAGAACACCAGUGGCGAAGGCGGCUCACUGGCCCGGUACUGACGCUGAGGUGCGAAAGCGUGGGGAGCAAACAGG